Long non-coding RNA from Neofelis nebulosa (Clouded leopard), 458 nucleotides. RefSeq lists it as uncharacterized. The record is from RefSeq and is a predicted model, not a curated record. The transcript has 4 exons. Lineage: Eukaryota; Metazoa; Chordata; Mammalia; Carnivora; Felidae.
AUCAGGCUGAAGCUUGGCACAUAAAUUAUCGGCGUGGAUGCAAAUUUUCCUCUAAAUAAAAUGGAUUAAGUGAGGUAUCAUCACCAUCACACUCCCUAUUCUUGGUCCUGCAAUGACCACUUUUCAGGCUCACAGGCUGGCCCUGCUUCAGACAUGCUCAGGCUGGUCCUGGCCCAGGAUUCUACAAACCAUCCUUUGAUUAUAGCAGGGCCUCACUGUUGGAAGAUUCCAUGGCCCCUGCGCAGCAAGAUGAAAAACUGGCUGUCAUUUGGGCAAUGGAAUUUACCUGGAAAAAAGAUUAUUGGAAAGAUAUGCCUACAUCUGCCACAAUAUGCAUUAAAAAAAUCCUAAUUCAGAAUAAUUUAUGCUUACAACUUAGGCCUGACUCUGCUGGUCAUUCUACACCUGACUUACUAAGAAAUGCAAAAGAGUAAAGUUCUCAUUAUGAACAUCUAUGU